GCAAGUCGAACGCGAACGUACCUUCGGGUAUUAGUAGAGUGGCGGACGGGUGAGUAACGCGUGGGAAUCUACCCAGUAGCGGGGGAUAACUCGAGGAAACUCGAGCUAAUACCGCAUACGCCCCAAGGGGGAAAGGCUUCGGCCACUAUUGGAUGAGCCCGCGUCAGAUUAGCUUGUUGGUAGGGUAAUGGCCUACCAAGGCAACGAUCUGUAGCUGGUCUGAGAGGACGAAC
Molecule: ribosomal RNA, 233 nt
Filed under: uncultured bacterium
Lineage: Bacteria
Description: partial 16S ribosomal RNA
Rfam family: Bacterial small subunit ribosomal RNA
Source: RNAcentral